This 468-nucleotide ribosomal RNA is filed under the name uncultured bacterium. RNAcentral's name for it is "partial 16S ribosomal RNA". It matches the Rfam family "Bacterial small subunit ribosomal RNA", at positions 28 to 507 of the family's 1533-position model. The record is from RNAcentral.
GACGAACGCUGGCGGCGUGCUUAACACAUGCAAGUCGAACGGAAAAGCCCUGCUUUUGUUGGGUGCUCGAAUGGCGAACGUGUGAAUAACACGUGUGUAACCUGCCCUUGACUUUGGGAUAACUUCAGAAAACUGGGUCUAAUAGCGGGUAGGAGCUCCUGCUGCAUGGUGUGGGUUGAGAAGUUUCCGCGGUUGGGGAUGGACGGGGGGCUUAUCAGCUUGGUGGUGGGGUAGUGGCUUAUCAAGGCUUUGACGGGUUGCCUGCCUGGGCGGGUGGACGGCCACAUUGGGCCUGAGAUACGGCCCAGAGUGCUACGGGAGGCAGCAGGGGGGAAUAUGGCACAAUGGGCGGAAGCCUGAUGCAGCAACGCCGCGUGCGGGAUGACGGCCUUCGGGUUGUAAACCGCUGUCGGUUGUGACGAAGCGUGAGUGACGGUAAUGGGUAAAGAAGCCCCGGCUAACUACGUG